AAUAUUGUACAUUGGGCGAAAGCCUGAUCCAGCCAUGCCGCGUGUGUGAAGAAGGUCUNCCGAUUNUNAAGCACUUUAAGUUGGGNGGAAGGGCAGUAAGCGAAUACCUUUCUGUUUUGACGUUACCGACAGAAUAAGCUCCGUAUAACUCUGUGCGAGCAUCCGCGGUAAUACAGAGGGUGCAAGCGUUCAACGGAAUUACUGUGCGUAAAGCGAGCGUAGGUGGUGCGUUAAGUUAGAUGUGAAAUCCCCGGGCUCAACCUAGGAACUGCAUCAAAAACUGGAGAGCUAGAGUAGGGCAGAGGGUGGUGGAAUUUCCUGUGUAGCGGUGAAAUGCGUAGAUAUAGGAAGGAACACCAGUGGCGAAGGCGACCAACUGGGCUCAUACUGACACUGAGGUGCGAAAGCGUGGGGAGCAAACAGG
This 424-nucleotide ribosomal RNA is filed under the name uncultured bacterium. RNAcentral's name for it is "partial 16S ribosomal RNA". It matches the Rfam family "Bacterial small subunit ribosomal RNA", at positions 360 to 776 of the family's 1533-position model. The record is from RNAcentral.